This 498-nucleotide ribosomal RNA is filed under the name uncultured Streptococcus sp. RNAcentral's name for it is "bacterial SSU rRNA". It matches the Rfam family "Bacterial small subunit ribosomal RNA", at positions 28 to 508 of the family's 1533-position model. Lineage: Bacteria; Bacillati; Bacillota; Bacilli; Lactobacillales; Streptococcaceae. The record is from RNAcentral.
GACGAACGCUGGCGGCGUGCCUAAUACAUGCAAGUAGAACGCUGAAGAGAGGAGCUUGCUCUUCUUGGAUGAGUUGCGAACGGGUGAGUAACGCGUAGGUAACCUGCCUUGUAGCGGGGGAUAACUAUUGGAAACGAUAGCUAAUACCGCAUAACAAUGGAUAACCCAUGUCAUUUAUUUGAAAGGGGCAAAUACUCCACUACAAGAUGGACCUGCGUUGUAUUAGCUAGUAGGUGAGGUAACGGCUCACCUAGGCGACGAUACGUAGCCGACCUGAGAGGGUGAUCGGCCACACUGGGACUGAGACACGGCCCAGACUCCUACGGGAGGCAGCAGUAGGGAAUCUUCGGCAAUGGGGGCAACCCUGACCGAGCAACGCCGCGUGAGUGAAGAAGGUUUUCGGAUCGUAAAGCUCUGUUGUAAGUCAAGAACGAGUGUGAGAGUGGAAAGUUCACACUGUGACGGUAGCUUACCAGAAAGGGACGGCUAACUACGUGC